This 877-nucleotide unclassified non-coding RNA is filed under the name Hevea brasiliensis (rubber tree). Lineage: Eukaryota; Viridiplantae; Streptophyta; Magnoliopsida; Malpighiales; Euphorbiaceae. The record is from RNAcentral.
GUACCAAGUCCUUUGAAAUCCCCAUGUGGUUCUGGUCUGUAGGUUAACCAUCUCCUUUCUGUGUCCAUGGACUGCAUAUAAACAUACUUAACAUCCCUGGUAAGUUGUGUUGACAAUGUUUGUUGAAGUAAAUCUAUUUCGUGGCCACCGAAAUUGCAGUCUCAAAAAAUAAUAUGAAGUACUUCUGCUGUCCCAUUAUAAUAGUCCUUGUUUCGUUCUUUUAAGGGAUGUCCUGUAAUAUCCUUGAACAAAAGUCAAAAGGUCAAAGCUACUCCUUUUCUCAUGAUAUUCUUUCUGCAAAAUUAUUUAUAUAUAUGCCAAGCAAAAUAAUUGCUAUUAAAAUAUGAGUGUAAUUGAUGGUAAAAUUGGAAAAUAACUUUGGAGCAUAUAUCUGUCAGUCUGUGAAUGCUAUUGCAGUUUCCUGAAAUAUCAAGUCUAUAGGACUGCUUUUAGGGAAUGUAAGACAUACCUGAUUACAUGAAAUUGUAAUUAACAGGGAAAUAAAGCUUCUCCCCUCCCUGUUCCCCAAGCAUCCCUCUAUUAUCACCUUGAGAAAAUAGAAAAGGGAAAACAUUACUAUGGUAUCCCUUUAUUUGGGAAAGGUUUUAUUUGACGUAAAAAAUUUCAGAAGGGCAUGCUAGUCAUCCCUGAUUAAUCCAAAUGUUUAGUGUUUACACAUAAUAUGUGUUCAAGUUCCAACUCUGAUAUUUUUUUUAUCAUGGAUCCUGUAAAAUACUUAAAAAGAGAAGGCAGAAAAUGCACUUAAUUGCUUGAUAUCAUUCUCUAUUACCUCUUAUUAGAACUUGUGGUAUUUGUCUGUUUUCCAGCAUUUUAGAGACCCUUAUUAUUUCAUACAUAAAUCCUCCAAUAAUGAAGC